This is an RNA transcript of Phlebotomus papatasi, 2800 nucleotides long. It is a transcript of the gene named protein vreteno-like, with no coding region annotated. The record is from RefSeq and is a predicted model, not a curated record. The transcript has 5 exons. NCBI's taxonomy places the organism in Eukaryota, Metazoa, Arthropoda, Insecta, Diptera, Psychodidae.
AUCGCCGAUAUAUCGCUAAAGCUGUCAAGAAAGUUAGCCGGCAGACAGUGCGUUUUUUGUUGUUAUUCUGAGAAGUUCCUUUUACUCCUGGAAAUUCCCUCCUCCAGAAAGUGUGACAAUGGUUGUGGACUUUCAAGCAGCGAUUGGGGCAAUUCAGGAUGCAAAAUUCAGUCCGGAAAUUGAGGAGGAAAAUGAGGACUGCAAAGUUUACGUUACUAACAUUCCCGAUAAGCUGAAGCAUCAGGGAUUGAAGAACUAUUUCACCAAGUUCGGCAAGGUCAGCAAAAUGUACUAUGCUCCUGGGAGCAGAUGGGCAUUUGUCACGUACCAAAACAAGGCAGAAUGCGAAGUGGCCAUUAUGAGGAUCAAUGAGCUCUUUGGGAUGAAAGCGGAAUUUGCAAAGAAGAAGGACAAGGAAGAAGUUGAAGAACUGAUAGAGAACAUUCCUUUUGAGCAGACAGAAUUCAAGGAAGAGGAAAUAACCAAAGUGACUCCUUUCAAAUUGCCAACAUUUGAUUGUGACUUUCCUCCUUUGCCCGUGACUGAAGAAGAUUACAGUCAUCCGGGAUUGCUGGAGUUUGAUCCCAAAAAAGAGUUUUUGCUCACACAUGAUGCAUUUUGGGCUGACAAACUCAAGAGGGACUAUGAGAAGAAGACAGAGAAAACAUGUCAAGAGAAUGGCAUGAAGGAGAAUUCUGUAAAUAAUUUUGUUAUGCAGAAAACGUUAGGAAAGUGCAAGGACUUGAGGGAAUUCCCUCUGAUAAAUUGCAGUAAUUGCAUAAGGAAUAAAGCCGCUUAUCGCUCAAUAAAGGAUUUAUAUUUCUGCUCAGCAAAGUGCCAAAGGAUUUACAAGGACAAUUGCAAGAAGAACAGCAAAGGGAUAAAUCCCCAGGAACCAAAACCCGAAUUCCCACCUAAUAAAUCUUUGGUGACUAUUACAUCAGCCUGCAAUCCCCGAGAACUCUUCUUGCGUUCUCUGGCCUCAAUUCCAAAUGCUAAUUACCUCAAACUCCUCAAUGACGUUCAUGAUUAUGGUAAAACAGCUAAAGAUCUGACUGAACCACCAAAAGCCCAUUCGAUGGUCAUUGCAAGAUGGGGAAAGAUUUUCACGAGGGCUUUUGUGGUGUCUAAUGACUCCUGCACGAAUUUAUCGAAUGUAAUCCUCGUAGAAUUUGGCGAAGUUGAGAGAAUCCCUUGGAUAGAACUCAAGGAAUUGAGUGAGGAAUUAGCAAAAGAGCCAAAAUACAUUUUUCGGUGCAAUUUAAAGAAUGUCAAUGCUUUGGAUUACAACUUUAAAGUAAAGACGUAUUUGGAGCAUUAUAUGAAGUUCUCGGGAUUGGCGGAUAGGAAGGUGGUUUAUGAUGCCUUUGAGGAGGGGAAAAUUCCAGAAAUUACGUUGAUUUCUGAUGAUCUUACGGUAUCGAGCGUCAAUGAUCAUCUGAAAUCAUUGCUUGAGCGAUCAGUUGAGGAUAUCAGAUUGGAUACGAGAUCUUUAAACUUUGUGGAUGAAACUCCAGUUUGGCCUACGAAAGACGUGGAGAUUAUUAUCUUGGACAAUUCAUUUUUGGAUAAGGGGCAAAUAUCUGUGGCUAUUUAUGUGCAGUACAUUGAAUUUCUGCAUCAGUGGAGAUUAAUGCAGGAUCAGUGCGAAUCUCUUGGUGAAAGAUAUGUUCCUCUGCCCGAUGGGAUGUGUCUGGUGAAGCUGGAGGAUGAUGGAAAGUGGCAUAGAGCCAUUUGCUCAGAAACCAGUAAAUUCCGGAUUUUGAGAAUUAUUCUAACGGAUUAUGGCAUAAUGGGAAAUGUUAAUACGGAAAAUAGCAGAAAACUCCCAAUUGACUUUGAUUUCUCGACCCCACUCAAGAUUUGCAAGAUUGAAGGCCUUCCGGAAGAGUUGACGGAGGAAAAGAUUCAGGAACUGAAGAAAAUGUUACCGCAAAACAAACGACUGAUUGCAAAGGAACUUUUGGAGCUUGAGGACUCCUAUUCACUUACCCUCUAUGAUCUUUAGAGCCGAAAGUACCAAAGUAGCAACAGGACAUCAAAUAUCUGAUGCAUUUUAGUUCUACUGAAAAUUCGUUUCGUUACUGUUGUGUCCUUAUUUUAUCACCAAAUUUUAUUCAUGACUCUUUUGAGAACUUUUUCUAAUUAUUUUAUUGAGGCAACAAAAAUUUUAGGUACAAUGAAAUGAAACGGAAAUAUCUGUCAUUUCAUCUUGAAUGCUAAAACAAUGUUAAGGCGGCGGUGGACGACUACAAGAGUUGAGAUUAUUAAAAAUAAUAUUAUAAUGAUAUUUUAGGUUUCAAGGCUUAGACAGGAACCGUUGUGUGGGUUGUGUGCAACAGAUUUAAUCCAAUAAGCACCUUGUUUGUUUGAGAAUUCCGAAAAUAUCAUUCGCCAUUGUUUCACAAAUCAUACCGAUAUGUUUUCGAUUUAAACGUGUUCACAUAUUAAUCUAAAAACAAACAAGAAGCAAAAUUUAAAAAAAAAUCGAUUAAGAUAUCGAACUUAUAAGGCUUGAAACUUAGGAUUAUAGUAAGUGAGAUUGUUGAGAAUCUCACAUAGUGGUAUUAUAUAUUGUGAAGCAGAGUACAACACGAUUUUGUCGAAAAUGAAAACAAGAUAAUAUUUUUAAGCUUUAGAAAUGAGAUAUAUUAAAAAUGUAUAAUAAGCUUGCUUAAACUUUCGAAAAACUAAGAUUAAUUGGAAAUCAGAUGUAUCGAAAAGCAUUUGAAGAAUUUUCAAGUAUUUGAACGAUCUAUAAUAAGCGUGCAAGUUUACUAAAAGCGUAAAUGUGUAAACG